This 548-nucleotide long non-coding RNA is filed under the name Meriones unguiculatus (Mongolian gerbil). RNAcentral describes it as "lncRNA (ENSMUGG00000020004.1)". The record is from RNAcentral. Lineage: Eukaryota; Metazoa; Chordata; Mammalia; Rodentia; Muridae.
CAGGUGUUUACCAUGAAAAGCCAUUGCUUACUGUUGAUUCAGAACCCCAGGGACUCUCAGAAAGAAAUGUGACUCUCCUCUGUCAUCCACCUACUUUCUUUGACACCUUCAUCUUCUGCAGAGAUGGAAAUGCUUCCUUUCCCCAGAACUGCUUAUGUCAGGACUCCAACACAUUUCCCAUCUCUCCUGGGAGCUCACGGCACAGGAGUACCUAUAGAUGCUUUGGCUCUUACAGAGACAACCCUAACCUGUGGUCACUGCCUAGUGACCCUCUUGAGCUCUCUUUCUCAGAUUCACUAGGUCUUUCUGUGGUUUGGGGCUCAGUUGCUGCUGUCUGCUUCCUCCUCUUCCUUAUUCUCCUCUUCAUCUGUCUCUGCCACCACUGGGCCAAAUGCAGGACCACCAAUGGCAAGACCAGGAGCCAGGUGAAAUAUAAGAGCUCCAGCCCAGCCCUGGACAUUGAAGAAAACAAUAAAUAUGAUGACUUGGAGGGCAUUCAACCUGAGAACAGCAGCCAGGUGGACACACAGGUGAGCUCUCUUUUCCUC